Molecule: ribosomal RNA, 484 nt
Filed under: uncultured bacterium
Lineage: Bacteria
Description: partial 16S ribosomal RNA
Rfam family: Bacterial small subunit ribosomal RNA
Source: RNAcentral
AUUGAACGCUGGCGGCAGGCCUAACACAUGCAAGUCGAGCGGAUGAAGGGAGCUUGCUCCUGGAUUCAGCGGCGGACGGGUGAGUAAUGCCUAGGAAUCUGCCUGGUAGUGGGGUAUAACGUCCGGAAACGGGCGCUAAUACCGCAUACGUCCUGAGGGAGAAAGUGGGGGAUCUUCGGACCUCACGCUAUCAGAUGAGCCUAGGUCGGGUUAGCUAGUUGGUGGGGUAAAGGCCUACCAAGGCGACGAUCCGUAACUGGUCUGAGAGGAUGAUCAGUCACACUGGAACUGAGACACGGUCCAGACUCCUACGGGAGGCAGCAGUGGGGAAUAUUGGACAAUGGGCGAAAGCCUGAUCCAGCCAUGCCGCGUGUGUGAAGAAGGUCUUCGGAUUGUAAAGCACUUUAAGUUGGGAGGAAGGGCAGUAAGUUAAUACCUUGCUGUUUUGACGUUACCAACAGAAUAAGCACCGGCUAACUUCGUG